Molecule: ribosomal RNA, 2891 nt
Filed under: Pseudomonas aeruginosa
Lineage: Bacteria; Pseudomonadati; Pseudomonadota; Gammaproteobacteria; Pseudomonadales; Pseudomonadaceae
Also listed under: 2 other names
Description: 23S ribosomal RNA
Rfam family: Bacterial large subunit ribosomal RNA
Source: RNAcentral
GGUCAAGUGAAGAAGCGCAUACGGUGGAUGCCUUGGCAGUCAGAGGCGAUGAAAGACGUGGUAGCCUGCGAUAAGCUUCGGGGAGUCGGCAAACAGACUUUGAUCCGGAGAUCUCUGAAUGGGGGAACCCACCUAGGAUAACCUAGGUAUCUUGUACUGAAUCCAUAGGUGCAAGAGGCGAACCAGGGGAACUGAAACAUCUAAGUACCCUGAGGAAAAGAAAUCAACCGAGAUUCCCUUAGUAGUGGCGAGCGAACGGGGAUUAGCCCUUAAGCUUCAUUGAUUUUAGCGGAACGCUCUGGAAAGUGCGGCCAUAGUGGGUGAUAGCCCCGUACGCGAAAGGAUCUUUGAAGUGAAAUCGAGUAGGACGGAGCACGAGAAACUUUGUCUGAACAUGGGGGGACCAUCCUCCAAGGCUAAAUACUACUGACUGACCGAUAGUGAACCAGUACCGUGAGGGAAAGGCGAAAAGAACCCCGGAGAGGGGAGUGAAAUAGAACCUGAAACCGUAUGCGUACAAGCAGUGGGAGCCUACUUGUUAGGUGACUGCGUACCUUUUGUAUAAUGGGUCAGCGACUUAUAUUCAGUGGCGAGCUUAACCGAAUAGGGUAGGCGUAGCGAAAGCGAGUCUUAAUAGGGCGUUUAGUCGCUGGGUAUAGACCCGAAACCGGGCGAUCUAUCCAUGAGCAGGUUGAAGGUUAGGUAACACUGACUGGAGGACCGAACCCACUCCCGUUGAAAAGGUAGGGGAUGACUUGUGGAUCGGAGUGAAAGGCUAAUCAAGCUCGGAGAUAGCUGGUUCUCCUCGAAAGCUAUUUAGGUAGCGCCUCAUGUAUCACUCUGGGGGGUAGAGCACUGUUUCGGCUAGGGGGUCAUCCCGACUUACCAAACCGAUGCAAACUCCGAAUACCCAGAAGUGCCGAGCAUGGGAGACACACGGCGGGUGCUAACGUCCGUCGUGAAAAGGGAAACAACCCAGACCGCCAGCUAAGGUCCCAAAGUUGUGGUUAAGUGGUAAACGAUGUGGGAAGGCUUAGACAGCUAGGAGGUUGGCUUAGAAGCAGCCAUCCUUUAAAGAAAGCGUAAUAGCUCACUAGUCGAGUCGGCCUGCGCGGAAGAUGUAACGGGGCUCAAACCACACACCGAAGCUGCGGGUGUCACGUAAGUGACGCGGUAGAGGAGCGUUCUGUAAGCCUGUGAAGGUGAGUUGAGAAGCUUGCUGGAGGUAUCAGAAGUGCGAAUGCUGACAUGAGUAACGACAAUGGGUGUGAAAAACACCCACGCCGAAAGACCAAGGGUUCCUGCGCAACGUUAAUCGACGCAGGGUUAGUCGGUUCCUAAGGCGAGGCUGAAAAGCGUAGUCGAUGGGAAACAGGUUAAUAUUCCUGUACUUCUGGUUACUGCGAUGGAGGGACGGAGAAGGCUAGGCCAGCUUGGCGUUGGUUGUCCAAGUUUAAGGUGGUAGGCUGAAAUCUUAGGUAAAUCCGGGGUUUCAAGGCCGAGAGCUGAUGACGAGUCGUCUUUUAGAUGACGAAGUGGUUGAUGCCAUGCUUCCAAGAAAAGCUUCUAAGCUUCAGGUAACCAGGAACCGUACCCCAAACCGACACAGGUGGUCGGGUAGAGAAUACCAAGGCGCUUGAGAGAACUCGGGUGAAGGAACUAGGCAAAAUGGCACCGUAACUUCGGGAGAAGGUGCGCCGGCUAGGGUGAAGGAUUUACUCCGUAAGCUCUGGCUGGUCGAAGAUACCAGGCCGCUGCGACUGUUUAUUAAAAACACAGCACUCUGCAAACACGAAAGUGGACGUAUAGGGUGUGACGCCUGCCCGGUGCCGGAAGGUUAAUUGAUGGGGUUAGCGCAAGCGAAGCUCUUGAUCGAAGCCCCGGUAAACGGCGGCCGUAACUAUAACGGUCCUAAGGUAGCGAAAUUCCUUGUCGGGUAAGUUCCGACCUGCACGAAUGGCGUAACGAUGGCGGCGCUGUCUCCACCCGAGACUCAGUGAAAUUGAAAUCGCUGUGAAGAUGCAGUGUAUCCGCGGCUAGACGGAAAGACCCCGUGAACCUUUACUGUAGCUUUGCACUGGACUUUGAGCCUGCUUGUGUAGGAUAGGUGGGAGGCUUUGAAGCGUGGACGCCAGUUCGCGUGGAGCCAUCCUUGAAAUACCACCCUGGCAUGCUUGAGGUUCUAACUCUGGUCCGUGAUCCGGAUCGAGGACAGUGUAUGGUGGGCAGUUUGACUGGGGCGGUCUCCUCCUAAAGAGUAACGGAGGAGUACGAAGGUGCGCUCAGACCGGUCGGAAAUCGGUCGCAGAGUAUAAAGGCAAAAGCGCGCUUGACUGCGAGACAGACACGUCGAGCAGGUACGAAAGUAGGUCUUAGUGAUCCGGUGGUUCUGUAUGGAAGGGCCAUCGCUCAACGGAUAAAAGGUACUCCGGGGAUAACAGGCUGAUACCGCCCAAGAGUUCAUAUCGACGGCGGUGUUUGGCACCUCGAUGUCGGCUCAUCACAUCCUGGGGCUGAAGCCGGUCCCAAGGGUAUGGCUGUUCGCCAUUUAAAGUGGUACGCGAGCUGGGUUUAGAACGUCGUGAGACAGUUCGGUCCCUAUCUGCCGUGGACGUUUGAGAUUUGAGAGGGGCUGCUCCUAGUACGAGAGGACCGGAGUGGACGAACCUCUGGUGUUCCGGUUGUCACGCCAGUGGCAUUGCCGGGUAGCUAUGUUCGGAAAAGAUAACCGCUGAAAGCAUCUAAGCGGGAAACUUGCCUCAAGAUGAGAUCUCACUGGGAACUUGAUUCCCCUGAAGGGCCGUCGAAGACUACGACGUUGAUAGGCUGGGUGUGUAAGCGUUGUGAGGCGUUGAGCUAACCAGUACUAAUUGCCCGUGAGGCUUGACCAU